GGGGUAUAGCUCAGCUGGGAGAGCACCUGCCUUACAAGCAGGGGGUCACAGGUUCGAGCCCUGUUGUCCCC
RNAcentral lists this transfer RNA (71 nucleotides) under bovine gut metagenome. It matches the Rfam family "tRNA". From Rfam's summary of the family: Transfer RNA (tRNA) molecules are approximately 80 nucleotides in length. Their secondary structure includes four short double-helical elements and three loops (D, anti-codon, and T loops). The record is from RNAcentral.